CUUCACCACUCCUCUACUGCGCCGCCGCCGCCCGGGACUGCCUUGGCAUCAGAAACAUAACUACUAAACUAUUACAAGCAUUCAUCGCACAUUACAAAUUUACACUCAUUUGCUUCCAAAUACAACCAGCUUAUUACAGAUUUUGUUUCCUUCUUUUCUACACCCCUAAGCUAUGCUGACUCGAGGUAUUUCUAUCUCUGGUCUAAGUGGUAGGGCGCUAUCUAUCGAGCUACGUCCUUUCAUCGCACUGCCGCGCCGCUCAUGUGUGGACCUGAAAAAUAUAGGGGUGAGAACUACAAACAUAGUUCCCAGUGGGUACGGCCACCCAAGGGAAAAACUUGACCCACCAGGUCCAAAGGA
This 360-nucleotide long non-coding RNA is filed under the name Ananas comosus (pineapple). RNAcentral's name for it is "long non-coding RNA (ACOM_LNC000638)". The record is from RNAcentral. Lineage: Eukaryota; Viridiplantae; Streptophyta; Magnoliopsida; Poales; Bromeliaceae.